Molecule: long non-coding RNA, 506 nt
Filed under: Homo sapiens (human)
Lineage: Eukaryota; Metazoa; Chordata; Mammalia; Primates; Hominidae
Description: HSALNT0027625
Source: RNAcentral
AAUGACAUUCCACUCUGGCUGUGGUAUGGAGAAGAGGGCUGAGCUGGAGUAGGUCUGGAGGCUGGGUCAUGGGCCAGGGUUUCAGAUUCACCCAGAUGCCUUGGAUAAUUUGUUUUGGAAAACAUAUAUUGAAGAUAUCAGAGCCACAGUAUGACAGAAGACUAGGUCCCAGAAUCACAACUGGAAGGAAAGUCAUGCACUAAUGAAGAAAACAAUUCUUAAGGCUUAUAUGAGCUGAAAACAAACUUCUGUCAUGUUGCUGCCUUUAUCCAUUUUUAAAAGAUGUUUGUCAUCAGUAGUGCUACUCUAAUAAAAUACAUCAUGAGCACAAUAACUUAAACUGGUCUCAUUAUAAAUCCUAGAUCUCCUAUCAUCACAGUUUAAAUCCAGACUACUGGUGUGGAAAGGUAUAUAAAUGCCUUCCAGAAUCUGAAAGGCAUAAUUUUGUUCACUUAUUUCAGGUUUUACUAAGGAUUCCAUACCCUUGGCUUCUGUUGAAUUAUUUC